AAGCCAUGAAGGCUGAUCCGGCGCUUCUGCGGGGAGCUAUUCGUCUCAGUCUGGGCUGGGACAGCACGGAAGCGGACAUAGAUCGCUGUCUAGAGGCUUGGAGAAAGCUCUCAGGUGUAUUAGGUAAAGCCCAUGCAAUCGGGCUUGAACGGUUCUAACGUUCGCGCAGUGCGUGUGCUCAAGCCUUAUACAACUUAAGCGGUCCACCGCGGUCCUUGAAACCGCGAGCGGAGGAUUGAAAUGCCGGC
Molecule: unclassified non-coding RNA, 248 nt
Filed under: Hevea brasiliensis (rubber tree)
Lineage: Eukaryota; Viridiplantae; Streptophyta; Magnoliopsida; Malpighiales; Euphorbiaceae
Source: RNAcentral